Molecule: long non-coding RNA, 617 nt
Filed under: Equus asinus (donkey)
Lineage: Eukaryota; Metazoa; Chordata; Mammalia; Perissodactyla; Equidae
Description: lncRNA (ENSEASG00005035798.1)
Source: RNAcentral
GCCACAGCUUCUUUCUGCACGCCCGGGUCACUUCCUCGACGAAGCUCCUCUGGAAUCCACUGGAGUUGAGUGCUGGGCCAGGCCUUGUGUGCUGAGGGCUAGACACUGGAGAGGCUGCCCAUGCCUCAUCAGCCUGAUGCUGGAGAAGCUGGUGGUGCUGCAGAAACUGGGAACUGGUGGAAGCCUCUUCUACUGAGGAACUAGAUUCUAAGGAGUCUGCCAAGUGAACUCACCGGAAGCAGGAUCAAGACUCUUCCCUCCUGUGGUGUCUCUCCAGCCCCCUCUAAUGAGAAAGCUUAACAUCUUGUCAGUUACAAAGGAAAAGUAUAUCAAGGGCCCAGAUCCAUUUUUACAGAGUAGACAUAAAGGACGAAUUUGAAGCUGAGGCAAUAAACUGAUAACUGCAGAAUUAUAUGUUUAAUACCUAACAAAGCUUUCAUUAAUACCAUGAAUUUAAUGCCAAGAGAAUAGUGUUUUAACAAAGAGCUACAUCACAAUAGUGAGGCUUGUUGCAUGAUCUGCUGGACAUUGAAUACUAACUGAUUUCCAGGUAUGGAUAUAGCAUAUUGUGCUUGAGAGAGUAUGUAUUUCAGGUGUUUUUACAUAUUGCUGUCCAU